CCUACGGGUGGCAGCAGUGGGGAAUAUUGCGCAAUGGGCGAAAGCCUGACGCAGCGACGCCGCGUGAGGGAUGAAGGUCUUCGGAUCGUAAACCUCUGUCAGCAGGGAAGAACGGUCAAUGUGCUAAUCAGCAGUGAAUUGACGGUACCUGCAAGGGAAGCACCGGCUAACUCCGUGCCAGCAGCCGCGGUAAUACGGAGGGUGCGAGCGUUAAUCGGAAUUACUGGGCGUAAAGCGCUCGUAGGCGGUAUGUCAAGUCAAGUGUGAAAGCCCCGGGCUCAACGUGGGAACUGCCUUUGAGAUUGGCAAACUGGAGUGUGUGAGAGGAUAGUGGAAUUCCAGGUGUAGGAGUGAAAUCCGUAGAUAUCUGGAGGAACAUCAGUGGCGAAGGCGACUAUCUGGCACAUAACUGACGCUGAGGAGCGAAAGCGUGGGUAGCAAACAGGAUUAGAGACCCCAGUAGUC
This 465-nucleotide ribosomal RNA is filed under the name uncultured bacterium. Its description in RNAcentral is "partial 16S ribosomal RNA". It matches the Rfam family "Bacterial small subunit ribosomal RNA", at positions 338 to 795 of the family's 1533-position model. The record is from RNAcentral.